UGCUCGCCAGCAGUAUAGUUUUAGGAUCGUUAGGUUGCACCUACAUAUACAUGUGUGAGUGCACAUGAACGAGUUACUCUACUAGGAGGUUUCAUGCUCGCCAUCAAAUGAUCAAGCAAAAUACAGCCAAAGAUAUUCAGGCUUGAGCGGGCAUUAGGAAGUCACAAUGCCCGAGAUAGGUUCCAUCUACUCCCAUGCACAAAUUGCACUCAUUUUCCUAGGUACGUACCACCUUUUCCUUGCAAUCUAGGAGGAACAGGUAGGCAUGCGUAUGGAUGCGGACAUGCAAUUUGUUAUGUAAAUUCCGUUGCGUUGCAACCAAUGACAUGUUAUUUUGUGUUUCUUAAUUAAUUGGGCACGGUCAGUAUUAGUAGGUUACGU
Molecule: long non-coding RNA, 381 nt
Filed under: Setaria viridis
Lineage: Eukaryota; Viridiplantae; Streptophyta; Magnoliopsida; Poales; Poaceae
Description: long non-coding RNA (SVIR_LNC001462)
Source: RNAcentral